UUGAUUAAACCAAAGAUACCGUGC
RNAcentral lists this non-coding RNA (24 nucleotides) under Arabidopsis thaliana (thale cress). Lineage: Eukaryota; Viridiplantae; Streptophyta; Magnoliopsida; Brassicales; Brassicaceae. The record is from RNAcentral.